This is a long non-coding RNA of Physeter macrocephalus (sperm whale), 474 nucleotides long. RefSeq lists it as uncharacterized. The record is from RefSeq and is a predicted model, not a curated record. NCBI's taxonomy places the organism in Eukaryota, Metazoa, Chordata, Mammalia, Artiodactyla, Physeteridae. The transcript has 3 exons.
AACAAACCUUCAUGUGUUUAAGCUGACUGCAAUUGGCUCUAUAACUAUACAAUUCCUAACUGAUAAAAUUUCUUCCUGAGAAAGGAUGGAUUGAGACUCCCACCUUGUUCCCACCUUCUUUGGCUCUGAGUGUCUCCAAGCUGUGAGUCUUUCUGAGGGUCUGCAUUGUGAAGUGGCUUGAUUCUCACUUUCAUCCGUCUCUGAUGGUGGUACAGAGGCUUCUGGGAAGCAGGUAGCUGAGAAUAGUUUAUCAACACAAGCACCUUGCAAACCAGCAGAGCUCCAGUUUGGACUGCUUUGCCUCACAUGCACACAUGGAAUACAUCUGCCUGUGGUCACCUAUAUCCGUUUCAUCCUUCUUAAGGUAGGAAAAACAAAACAUGUGUGCCAGUGUGCCCCCAAGUUAUCUGCACAUUCUUGUUCACCUGUUAACUGAUAGCUUCUCUCUUACAUGUAAAAAGAGGCAUCUGUAUA